UUUUAGAGUUUGAUUCCCUGCUCAGAACGAACGCUGGCGGCAGGCUUAACACAUGCAAGUCGAGCGCCCCGCAAGGGGAGCGGCAGACGGGUGAGUAACGCGUGGGAAUCUACCGUGCCCUACGGAAUAGCUCCGGGAAACUGGAAUUAAUACCGUAUACGCCCUACGGGGGAAAGAUUUAUCGGGGUAUGAUGAGCCCGCGUUGGAUUAGCUAGUUGGUGGGGUAAAGGCCUACCAAGGCGACGAUCCAUAGCUGGUCUGAGAGGAUGAUCAGCCACAUUGGGACUGAGACACGGCCCAAACUCCUACGGGAGGCAGCAGUGGGGAAUAUUGGACAAUGGGCGCAAGCCUGAUCCAGCCAUGCCGCGUGAGUGAUGAAGGUCUUAGGAUUGUAAAGCUCUUUCACCGAUGAAGAUAAUGACGGAGUCGGAGAAGAG
RNAcentral lists this ribosomal RNA (437 nucleotides) under uncultured Agrobacterium sp. RNAcentral's name for it is "bacterial SSU rRNA". It matches the Rfam family "Bacterial small subunit ribosomal RNA", at positions 1 to 489 of the family's 1533-position model. The record is from RNAcentral. Lineage: Bacteria; Pseudomonadati; Pseudomonadota; Alphaproteobacteria; Hyphomicrobiales; Rhizobiaceae.